CCAUGCACUGGUCAGUAAAUGGCCAAACACAUUGCCUGGGAAGAGAGAGAGUCAUUGCACCUGGGGGGAGCUGUGGCUCUGGGACUGCCCGUGCCCUGAGAAGCAGAAAGGCUGAGAGGUUUGGGUGAUAAACAGCUGCUGUGUUUUAGUGCUCAGUGAUGGCAUUCUGUGAUGGGUAAGAUGAUUCAUGGCUUGGGUUCUUUCGGGCUGAAAGGUGGAGGAGGUGGCGCAUCCACUGCAUGUUUCUGUAGUGCCUGUGAUGCCAGCACAAUGGUGGUCUUCAGACUUGUCUGCAAAGUCCUGAUAUAAAAGAGUUGGCAGCCCAAGAUGAAAAUCUGUCAUCUUUCUUGUGAGGAGCAGCCCUGCUUUCAGCAGCAGUCUUGCUGAAGUAGUUGGAUGUUAUUUCAGAGAAAAAAAACACACUAUUUGUCAUGAGCAUGGGUGGCAGAACUGGGGUCUGAGAGGUUCAGUGCUCUUCCUGCCUGGGUGGCUAUGUUGCUUUGUCACUAAUGUACUUGAGGACCUCAGAGAUGAUGAUAUUGUCCUCACAGGCAGAUGUCUUGGGAAGGAGAUACAUCUAAUUAACAUUUCUUGAUGAAAGGCCUGAUUCAAGAAAGCAUCUCUAUUGAGUGCAGCACUUUGCUUAAAUCUUAUUUAUUUCAGUAAGAUUUAAACCCAAGUAAACCCUUUCCAGAUCUUGGGCAUGCCUUUGCUUCUCCCCUUCCUGCUGCCUCUGGUGUCCUGUGACAAGUGUGGCAAGAACCGAGGAAAAAAGCUUGGCUGUGUUAAAGAAACGGUUAUUUUGUUGAUAUGCUUAUUGCAGUCAGGGCCACAACAGCUACCAACCUAUUAGCAGUGUAACUUCCGUUCUUCCUCUUAAGAUGCCCCAUCCCAGUGUAUCCUUCCUACCUUCCGUUCUCUUGCAGAGGAGCCCUGUGCUUCUUCCUUUCCCGUGGCCUUUUCCCUGACUACCCCUAACACCCAUGUUAUUUAUCUCUAUUCUUCCCAUAU
This is a long non-coding RNA of Strigops habroptila (Kakapo), 1011 nucleotides long. RefSeq lists it as uncharacterized. The transcript has 3 exons. NCBI's taxonomy places the organism in Eukaryota, Metazoa, Chordata, Aves, Psittaciformes, Psittacidae. The record is from RefSeq and is a predicted model, not a curated record.